UGGGAGAGAGGAAAUAAGGGCCAGACUGUGAUAGUAUGAGCCGAGAUAAGCUUGGUGCUGUUUCUUGUUUUUUUUUUUGUUUUGUUGUUUAAAGUUCUGAAUACUGUGAAAAGAAUUCGUGGAAUAAAUCAGGGAAAUGAUUUAUGAGAUAUUGGGUGUGUAAUUGAAGUAUUGUGUGAUUGAAGGAGAGAAAUUUGGAAGUUGUUAUCAGAUUCUGUGAAGAUUAAUUAUAACUGGAAGAUUAUGAUCGUGGUUAAUUGAAAACUGUGUGUGUUCGGACCGAGGAAAUCUGGGAAAAUAGAAAUUGUGUAAAGCCAAAUUAAUUGAGUAAGAUUGGUUAUUCCUGGUGUUGGAUGGAAUUUAUGU
Molecule: long non-coding RNA, 366 nt
Filed under: Physcomitrium patens
Lineage: Eukaryota; Viridiplantae; Streptophyta; Bryopsida; Funariales; Funariaceae
Description: long non-coding RNA (PPAT_LNC012363)
Source: RNAcentral